UGGGGGAUAUUGCACAAUGGGCGAAAGCCUGAUGCAGCGACGCCGCGUGGGGGAUGAAGGCUUUCGGGUUGUAAACCUCUUUCGCUAUCGAACAAGGCCCGCUUAGGGUGGGUUGAGGGUAGGUGGAGAAGAAGCGCCGGCUAACUACGUGCCAGCAGCCGCGGUAAUACGUAGGGCGCGAGCGUUGUCCGGAAUUAUUGGGCGUAAAGGGCUUGUAGGCGGCUUGUUGCGCCUGCUGUGAAAACGCGGGGCUUAACUUCGCGCGUGCAGUGGGUACGGGCAGGCUUGAGGGUGGUAGGGGUGACUGGAAUUCCAGGUGUAGCGGUGGAAUGCGCAGAUAUCUGGAGGAACACCGAUGGCGAAGGCAGGUCACUGGGCCAUUACUAACGCUGAGGAGCGAAAGCAUGGGUAGCGAACAGG
Molecule: ribosomal RNA, 420 nt
Filed under: bacterium
Lineage: Bacteria
Description: partial 16S ribosomal RNA
Rfam family: Bacterial small subunit ribosomal RNA
Source: RNAcentral